This 429-nucleotide ribosomal RNA is filed under the name Bacteroidota bacterium. Its description in RNAcentral is "Bacteroidetes bacterium partial 16S ribosomal RNA". It matches the Rfam family "Bacterial small subunit ribosomal RNA", at positions 355 to 776 of the family's 1533-position model. The record is from RNAcentral. Lineage: Bacteria; Pseudomonadati; Bacteroidota.
UAGGGAAUCUUCCGCAAUGGACGCAAGUCUGACGGAGCAACGCCGCGUGAGUGAAGAAGGAUUUCGGUUCGUAAAACUCCGUUGUUAGAGAAGAACAGCGCAUAGAGUAACUGUUAUGCGUGUGACGGUAUCUAACCAGAAAGCCACGGCUAACUACGUUCCAGCAGCCGCGGUAAUACGUAGGUGGCAAGCGUUGUCCGGAUUUAUUGGGAGUAAAGCGGGCGCAGGCGGUCAAUUAAGUCUGAUGUGAAAACCCCCGGCUCAACCGGGGAAGGUCAUUGGAAACUGGUUGGCUUGAGUGCAGAAGAGGGGAGUGGAAUUCCAGGUGUAGCGGUGAAAUGCGUAGAUAUAUGGAGGAACCCCAGUGGCGAAGGCGACUCUUUGGUCUGUAACUGACGCUGAGGCUCGAAAGCGUGGGUAGCAAACAGG